GGAAAAAUUGUCAAUCGAGAUAUCCAGCAAAGCUAGUUCUCAAAAGUGAACCUGAGAUAAAGGCAUUCCCACAUACAGAAAAGCAGGUUUUGUUCCUAGCAGACUUCACAGCCUCCAAGAAAAGAAAGCUUAAAGGAAGUACUGAAGAAAGUUUUUCCACACUGAAACAAAUUAAAUUUUAGAUGGUAGAUGCCACACACACACACACACACACACACACACACUGCCAAUAUUGGUAAUUGUAUUGUGUAAUAAUAAAAGACUCUAUAAAUCCUUAUUUUUUCUCUUAGUGUAAAAAGCAGCAGUAUAAAAUGAUAUGUAUAUAAUGUACAGUUGGGUAGAAGACAUAGAAAUAUAAUAUAUAUGCCAAUGAUAGCACAGAAGAGGUGGGAGGCUGCAAAGCUGAACUGGGAUAAGGAGGUGAUUCUAGAUUGAACUCACAGGAACGCAUGAAGAGAACCAGAAAUGAUAAGUAGUACUGUGAGCAUAGCAUACACUAAAAUACAUAAAUAACGGCUGCACAUACAACAGUUUUCCAAUGAAAUUAUAAUGUGAGGAUGAGAUUAAUGUCUGGCUGAGUCAGGAGGGCCGCACUCAUCUCUCGUGAGAAAACUCCAAAAAACUAUUAGGGCUGGAAUAAUCUGCCCCCUUGGGUGUGUGAAGAGCUGACUUUAGACAAAUAAACUGCUCCUCUCAAAAACCUCUGAAGUCCUGACUGCAUUCGCCUCAGCCCCCAAAAUAUACAAUCCAAAAAUUGACAUGUGGCCAAUAAGGAUGUGCCAAAUAUCCCAACUCCAACCUGGCUCCACCCCUGCCUUUCCCCAUCCAAUAGCGAUCCAGUAGUGCCACGCUGGCGCCACCCCGCCUUAACUAUAUAAGCCUGUGCAUUUCCUGAAUAAAGUGGAAGCGUUUCAGAAACCUCCCCGGAGUCUGCGUGGUGAUCUCCUGCCUUGCCCUCCCAGUCCAGGCCCCCUGAACUCUGUUCCAAGCCGGCUCAUGGGCGAAAACAACUGGCACCGGAACAGGGGAUUCGCAUAUACGGGAAAUGAUUUUGCUAGAAAUUAUAUUUUGCUAGAACAGCCCUGGCCAUUUGGGUCCCCGUUGAUCUCCAUAUGGAAUGAAAAAAUUCAGAUCCUCUCUUUAGUCUUAUGCUUCAUCCCCGCAAUAAGAGAUUUUGAAAUUUCCGCCCUUAUUGCUGUCAUCGUUUCCAUGGUGGACAACAGCAGCGGUCACCUCACAAAAUCAGCAGCAGUCAACCAGCUAACAAAAAACAUUACCCAAGUCUUCAAAAAGACCACCCUGCUAUGUCAAGAUGUCCGCGCAGCUGUACUCAAUUUACAAAUCCAAUUAAACUGAGUUUGGGAGGAAUUAAUACCCAGGUGUUAGAUGUUGAAACUUUAACUAAUGUGUGGGAUACCAUUUGGUCAAAAAUCCAGGCUGGAUAGAAUUAUUUGAGUAGUUGGAUACAUGGAUUGAGAUUGGGAUCCCCAUAUGUAUUAACCUCAUUUGGCAUAUUGUUAUUGUUCGUUAUUUUAAAGAUCAGACUGCCAGUAACAAAAUCAUAAAGAUGUGGUCCUUUUGGCAGAGGCUCCGGGAAUCAAAGACAAAAGGGUGAACUGAGGAUCAGAUUAAUGUCUGGCUGAGUCAGGAGCGCCACAAUGCACCCAUCUCUCCUGAGAAAACUACUAGGGCUGGAAUAAUCAGCCCCCUCGGGUGUGUGGAGAGCUGACCUUAGACAGAUAAACUGUUUCUCUCAAAAACCUCUGAAAUCCUGACUCCAUUGCCUCAACCCCUAAAACAUACAAUCGAAAAACUAGUAUGUGGCCAAUAAGGAUGUGCCAAAUAUCCUGACUCCAACCUGGCUCCACCCCUGCCUUACCCCAUCCAAUAGCGAUCCAGUAGUGCCACGCUGGCUCCACCCCUGCCUUAACUAUAGAAGCCUGUGCAUUUCCUGAAUAAAGCGGAAGAGUUUCAGAAACCUCCCGGGAGUCUGUGUGGUGAUUUCCCGCCUUGCCCUCCCAGUCCGGGCCCCCUGAACUCUAUUCCGCGAGCGUGCUGGACGAGAACAAUACUAAUAGAGCUGAAAAAUCCCUAACCCCCUGAUUCUUCCAUUGUCAAAACCACAUACAAUGCGCCACCUAUGUUUGUGUCAAAACACUCGUGUACAAAACCUACUGCACCACCAGUUGUAUGAAAGGAUAGCGCUUAAAAUGAUAGGCUGUGGCAUCGGACCAUAACACAUGACUGUUACUUGUUCAUGUAUUUACUAUAAUUUUGUCAUUAUUUUAGACUCUCUUCCUCCCAAUUUCAUUUUUUAAAAACAGGUAAGUGACACAGCACGGGUAGGUGCUCCAGCAGCUGUUCCAGUACUGUGAGCACGGAAUGUUGCCCCACUGCCAUUGAUUCAUUUUUCUAGGG
This 2418-nucleotide long non-coding RNA is filed under the name Fukomys damarensis (Damara mole-rat). RNAcentral describes it as "lncRNA (ENSFDAG00000025233.1)". Lineage: Eukaryota; Metazoa; Chordata; Mammalia; Rodentia; Bathyergidae. The record is from RNAcentral.